CGGCUCCCUCCGUUCCACCCACCAAGGGUGCAGAGUCAUUCUUUAGAACGAUACUUUCAAGUAUGGAAAAGGUCUAUUUGAGCCGGAACCCAACUGCCAAAGCAAUUCUUGACCUCGUCCAUUCAUGUGAUGGCAGUCAUGUUUGCUAUGAUCAUAUCGCCUUCCGAACAUUUGGGGUAGAUGGUUAUGGAAUUGAUGCUUUGGCAAAAGUUUUCUUGGAUUUUGGUUAUGUGACACGUGAAGAAUUGAAGUUUCCUGCUAAAAAGCUGAGGGCACUGUGGUUUGCCCCUCCCGAUGCUGACCAUUGUGACAGUGCAAGCCAUUUCAGUGGGCCUUUGCCAAGGAUAUUUAUAUCCGAGCUACUUGUGGAUGAACUGAG
This 379-nucleotide unclassified non-coding RNA is filed under the name Hevea brasiliensis (rubber tree). The record is from RNAcentral. Lineage: Eukaryota; Viridiplantae; Streptophyta; Magnoliopsida; Malpighiales; Euphorbiaceae.